Molecule: long non-coding RNA, 330 nt
Organism: Oncorhynchus tshawytscha (Chinook salmon)
Lineage: Eukaryota; Metazoa; Chordata; Actinopteri; Salmoniformes; Salmonidae
Source: Ensembl
GCAGUGGACAGGCUAGGCAGUAGAUGGGCUAGGCAUUAGAUGGGCUAGUCAGUAGACAGGCUAGGCAGUCGAUGGGCUAGGCAGUGGACAGGCUAGGCAGUAGAUGGGCUAGGCAGUAGACGGGCUAGGCAGUCGAUGGGCUAGGCAGUGGUCAGGCUAGGCAGUAGAUGGGCUAGGCGGUAGACAGGCUAGGCAGUGGACAUGCUAGGCAGUAGAUGGGCUAGGCAGUGGACAGGCUAGGCAGUGGACAGGCUAGGCAGUAGAUGGGCUAGGCAGUGGACAGGCUAGGCAGUAGAUGGGCUAGGCAGUAGAUGGGCUAGGCAGUGGACA